RNAcentral lists this ribosomal RNA (207 nucleotides) under uncultured bacterium. RNAcentral's name for it is "partial 16S ribosomal RNA". It matches the Rfam family "Bacterial small subunit ribosomal RNA", at positions 568 to 774 of the family's 1533-position model. The record is from RNAcentral.
CACGUAGGCGGUUUGUUAAGUCAGGGGUGAAAUCCCGGAGCUCAACUCCGGAACUGCCUUUGAUACUGGCAAGCUAGAGUCCGGAAGAGGUAAGUGGAACUCCUAGUGUAGAGGUGGAAUUCGUAGAUAUUAGGAAGAACACCAGUGGCGAAGGCGGCUUACUGGUCCGGAACUGACGCUGAGGUGCGAAAGCGUGGGGAGCAAACA